RNAcentral lists this ribosomal RNA (498 nucleotides) under uncultured bacterium. Its description in RNAcentral is "partial 16S ribosomal RNA". It matches the Rfam family "Bacterial small subunit ribosomal RNA", at positions 30 to 523 of the family's 1533-position model. The record is from RNAcentral.
AUUGGACGCUGGCGGCAUGCCUUACACAUGCAAGUCGAACGGUAACAGGUCUUCGGAUGCUGACGAGUGGCGAACGGGUGAGUAAUACAUCGGAACGUGCCUAGUAGUGGGGGAUAACUACUCGAAAGAGUGGCUAAUACCGCAUGAGAUCUACGGAUGAAAGCAGGGGAUCGCAAGACCUUGUGCUACUAGAGCGGCCGAUGGCAGAUUAGGUAGUUGGUGGGAUAAAAGCUUACCAAGCCGACGAUCUGUAGCUGGUCUGAGAGGACGAUCAGCCACACUGGGACUGAGACACGGACCAGACUCCUACGGGAGGAAGCAGUGGGGAAUUUUGGACAAUGGGCGCAAGCCUGAUCCAGCAAUGCCGCGUGCAGGAUGAAGGCCUUCGGGUUGUAAACUGCUUUUGUACGGAACGAAAAGCCCCGGGUUAAUACCCUGGGGUCAUGACGGUACCGUAAGAAUAAGCACCGGCUAACUACGUGCCAGCCGCCGCCGUAA